Molecule: ribosomal RNA, 253 nt
Filed under: uncultured bacterium
Lineage: Bacteria
Description: partial 16S ribosomal RNA
Rfam family: Bacterial small subunit ribosomal RNA
Source: RNAcentral
UACAGAGGGGGCAAGCGUUGUUCGGAAUUACUGGGCGUAAAGGGCGCGUAGGCGGCCUGCUAAGUCGAACGUGAAAUCCCCAGGCUCAACCCGGGAACUGCGUCCGAUACUGGUUGGCUUGAAUCCGGGAGAGGGAUGCGGAAUUCCAGGUGUAGCGGUGAAAUGCGUAGAUAUCUGGAGGAACACCGGUGGCGAAGGCGGCAUCCUGGACCGGCAUUGACGCUGAGGCGCGAAAGCCAGGGGAGCAAACGGG